AAGGAGUUGGCUCAGUGGUAGAGUGCUUGCCUUGCAUGCAUGAGGCCCUGGGUUGGAUUCCUCA
Molecule: transfer RNA, 64 nt
Filed under: Dipodomys ordii (Ord's kangaroo rat)
Lineage: Eukaryota; Metazoa; Chordata; Mammalia; Rodentia; Heteromyidae
Rfam family: tRNA
About the family: Transfer RNA (tRNA) molecules are approximately 80 nucleotides in length. Their secondary structure includes four short double-helical elements and three loops (D, anti-codon, and T loops).
Source: Rfam by way of RNAcentral